UACGUAGGGUGCGAGCGUUAAUCGGAAUUACUGGGCGUAAAGCGUGCGCAGGCGGCGCGUUAAGACAGGUGUGAAAGCCCCGAGCUUAAUUUGGGAAUUGCGCUUGUGACUGGCGUGCUGGAGUGUGGCAGAGGGAGGUGGAAUUCCACGUGUAGCAGUGAAAUGCGUAGAGAUGUGGAGGAACACCGAUGGCGAAGGCAGCCUCCUGGGCCAGCACUGACGCUCAUGCACGAAAGCGUGGGGAGCAAACAGG
RNAcentral lists this ribosomal RNA (253 nucleotides) under uncultured bacterium. RNAcentral's name for it is "partial 16S ribosomal RNA". It matches the Rfam family "Bacterial small subunit ribosomal RNA", at positions 524 to 776 of the family's 1533-position model. The record is from RNAcentral.